GAGAUGAGACUUCCCGGGGGCUUGACCCCCCUGAAGGGUCGUCCUAGACCAGGACGUUGAUAGGCGGGAUGUGCAAGGGCCGUAAGGCCUUGAGCUAACCCGUACUAAUUGCCCGUGCGGCUUGACCCUAUAACC
This 135-nucleotide ribosomal RNA is filed under the name Betaproteobacteria bacterium. RNAcentral's name for it is "partial 23S ribosomal RNA". It matches the Rfam family "Bacterial large subunit ribosomal RNA", at positions 2801 to 2925 of the family's 2925-position model. The record is from RNAcentral. Lineage: Bacteria; Pseudomonadati; Pseudomonadota; Betaproteobacteria.